AUAAUCCAAUUUCUAACCCAAAAGAAAAACAUUUGAAAAAAGAAAAAAAGAAAAAAAAAAUCUAUACAGGCUAUAAGGUGGGAAAAAUAGAGAUAUGUUAGAUUCUUUCACACACAGAUAGUGUUAAUAAACUGUGCACUCAUUUCUUUAUAAGCUGUAGGUAGACACAGACAAAAGAAAGACACUUACCAAACGAACCCAAGCAAAUUCAUCGAAACCCCAGAACCCAAUAAAACCCUUUUGUUUUCGUUUUCCAUUACGAGGGUAUUUAUGGCAAUUUGAACACUUACCGUACAACCACCCAUCCUUAUGAUAGCCUCCGGUACCGACGGCCACCCUUAUAUGGCGGCGGCGGCGUCGGAAGGUACUUGGUCACGGCGGCGGCACCAUUCAACGUUGCCGUCGCCGUUACGGCCUUGGCUGGCUUCACACUGAUCAUGGCCUUGUUCUACACGGCCAGUAGGUUAAAAAAAAAAAAAAAGCAAUGGAAUUUCUCUGAGCUUUGUUUCGGAAACCCUAAACCCAAUGAAAAAUUAAUAUGUCAACCACCAAAUGUUUCGAUUUUUUUUUAAUUUGUUAUCUGGGAUUUUGUUUGUUUGUUUGUUUGUUUGGAUGUUUUUGCUUUUUUUUUUUUUUUUUUUUUUUUUAUACAACCUUGUAUAAGCUUCUAUAGAGGAAAGCUGUUCGACGAAGCCAACUUCGUCGUCGAAUUCCUCUCCUUCUUCUUCUUCGUCAUCGUCGUCGUCGUGGAUUCAUUUGCGUUCGGUUCUAUUCGUUGUUACUUCUUCUUCCCCAGCUUAUUGUUCCUCCUCUGAUUGAGCAAGACAUGCGACAGAUCUGGGAUUUCAGACCGUAAAGAUGAAAAAGUCGCUCCUUUUUUUCUUAUGCAAAAAGAGUAAAUAAAAUUAAUUCAUCGACAUAAAUUAUUGUUAUUUGUUUUAUGAUACAUACAUGAUGUAGUAUUAUAAUACAAGUUUUAUUGUAUUUUAUGGGCAGUCUUUUUUUUUUUGCCCCAAAA
This is a long non-coding RNA of Ziziphus jujuba (common jujube), 1018 nucleotides long. RefSeq lists it as uncharacterized. The record is from RefSeq and is a predicted model, not a curated record. Lineage: Eukaryota; Viridiplantae; Streptophyta; Magnoliopsida; Rosales; Rhamnaceae. The transcript is spliced from 2 exons.